This is a long non-coding RNA of Talpa occidentalis (Iberian mole), 543 nucleotides long. RefSeq lists it as uncharacterized. The record is from RefSeq and is a predicted model, not a curated record. The transcript is spliced from 3 exons. NCBI's taxonomy places the organism in Eukaryota, Metazoa, Chordata, Mammalia, Eulipotyphla, Talpidae.
CCAACUGCUGGUGCUGACGCUCGGAAGCCGGAGGUACUUUCGGGAAGCGCGAGGAUAGUCUCGAAAAGUCAACUCUGUCAGCGGGAAGGGAAGACCAAAAGCAAAACCGGGGCCCCGGCCUCUUGUUCCCGGAGGUUGCCUGGCUGGCGUCCACGCGUCGGUUUCGAGUAACUUGAAUUCAGCAAGUAAAUUUACACUGAAGGAAGAAGAUUAAGCUUUUGAAAAAGAAGAAAAGGACAACUUGGUUCUUUCAGGGCAAUUUCUGUCUUCAGCAAUAAGCAUAUAUUUAUGUUUAAGCCACUAUUUGGUUUCCUGUUGAUUGCAUCCCAGAUGAUAGAUUCAACCAGCAGGACAGGGGAGCUGAGGACCCUGGCGCUGAAGCUUGCUGAGGACACGUGACAUGCAGAAAAUGUCAUGAAGCUGGAAUCUGUCAGGUGUCUGAAAAACAUGUCACCUUUAACAAAAAUCAAAAGAAUUUGAAUACAGUAACCAUUUCUUGCAUGAUGUAAGUCCACGAUGAUUUAAAUAAUGCAAAAGUCAAAA